This 468-nucleotide ribosomal RNA is filed under the name uncultured bacterium. RNAcentral describes it as "partial 16S ribosomal RNA". It matches the Rfam family "Bacterial small subunit ribosomal RNA", at positions 28 to 507 of the family's 1533-position model. The record is from RNAcentral.
GACGAACGCUGGCGGCGUGCUUAACACAUGCAAGUCGAACGGAAGGGCCCUGCUUUUGUGGGGUGCUCGAGUGGCGAACGGGUGAGUAACACGUGAGUAACCUGCCCUUGACUUUGGGAUAACUUCAGGAAACUGGGGCUAAUACCGGAUAGGAGCUCCUGCUGCAUGGUGGGGGUUGGAAAGUUUCGGCGGUUGGGGAUGGACUCGCGGCUUAUCAGCUUGUUGGUGGGGUAGUGGCUUACCAAGGCUUUGACGGGUAGCCGGCCUGAGAGGGUGACCGGCCACAUUGGGACUGAGAUACGGCCCAGACUCCUACGGGAGGCAGCAGUGGAGAAUAUUGCACAAUGGGCGGAAGCCUGAUGCAGCAACGCCGCGUGCGGGAUGACGGCCUUCGGGUUGUAAACCGCUUUCGCCUGUGACGAAGCGUGAGUGACGGUAAUGGGUAAAGAAGCACCGGCUAACUACGUG